This 468-nucleotide ribosomal RNA is filed under the name uncultured bacterium. RNAcentral describes it as "partial 16S ribosomal RNA". It matches the Rfam family "Bacterial small subunit ribosomal RNA", at positions 28 to 507 of the family's 1533-position model. The record is from RNAcentral.
GACGGACGCUGGCGGCGUGCUUAACACGUGCAAGUCGAACGGAAAGGCCCUGCUUUUGUGGGGUGCUCGAGUGGCGAACGGGUGAGUAACACGUGAGUAACCUGCCCUUGACUUUGGGAUAACUUCAGGAAACUGGGGCUAAUACCGGAUAGGAGCUCCUGCUGCAUGGUGGGGGUUGGAAAGUUUCGGCGGUUGGGGAUGGACUCGCGGCUUAUCAGCUUGUUGGUGGGGUAGUGGCUUACCAAGGCUUUGACGGGUAGCCGGCCUGAGAGGGUGACCGGCCACAUUGGGACUGAGAUACGGCCCAGACUCCUACGGGAGGCAGCAGUGGGGAAUAUUGCACAAUGGGCGGAAGCCUGAUGCAGCAACGCCGCGUGCGGGAUGACGGCCUUCGGGUUGUAAACCGCUUUCGCCUGUGACGAAGCGUGAGUGACGGUAAUGGGUAAAGAAGCACCGGCUAACUACGUG